This 153-nucleotide unclassified non-coding RNA is filed under the name uncultured fungus. RNAcentral describes it as "sequence contains ITS1". Lineage: Eukaryota; Fungi. The record is from RNAcentral.
GUUUAAACUUUAUUCAUGGACAACCGACAUUCAUUACAAAUUCUCGCGUCAAAAAUGACAAUGCACAAGUGUUUGAAAUAGGAUAAGAGGCCGGUCGAAACCGGAUAUCCUCUAAUGUCACUAAUGAUCCUUCCGCAGGUUCACCUACGGAAA